This is a non-coding RNA of Triticum aestivum (bread wheat), 126 nucleotides long. The record is from Rfam. Lineage: Eukaryota; Viridiplantae; Streptophyta; Magnoliopsida; Poales; Poaceae.
GAUGUACUCCCUCCGUCCGGAAAAGCUUGUCCCAAGCUUGUUCCUCAAAUGGAUGUAUCUAGCACUAAUUCGGUGCUAGAUACAUUCAUUUGAGGGACAAGUUUUUCCGGAUGGAGGGAGUAUGAA